UGUCAGACACAUGUCUUGCUUGGCAAACAAGAAGUCUAAAUCAUGUUCAAAGAUUUAUCAUUCGAUCUUGUUUAUUUGUUAUUGAUUUCCCAUUUCGGAGCAGUGUAAUUGCGGAGCUUCCAGUGCAGCAAUGGAUUUUAUCACGAGCAGGUUUUUCUCAAAUGGGAUGUAACAGAUUUAUGUAACUGCGGAUUGUUCUGCAAGACGUGGCAUUCGAUCAUCAUGAAAGGAAGUAGAAAAAGAAACUUAAUCCUCUAGAUAAUAACGAGAAAUCAAGCCUCUAAGAACUUUUGUAAUUAAGAAAAUAAGGUGAUGUGAAUUUGUUUGUUAAUCAUUUUAUAAGUCCUCUUGACGUCUCAUAUUCUGGAUCCUCAUAUUCUCAUCCCAUGUCUUGCCGUCUCUCUCUAAGUAAAUGGCAUUUUGGUGUGUGUCAUUGGAUGAUAAUGUACUAAACAGGCAACAUUUUGUGAUUUGAUGGUUGCAAAGGAGCAAUUUCUAAUCCCCUUGUUCUGUGUCACACUGUCACAUCCCCAUCGUUACCUGCCUCCUCAAAAUAAUGGAUCCACCAUUAAAAUUUGAUUUUACCGCUCUUCUUUCUUUCUCGUGAGAUCGAAGCAGCUACGAGGGUCAACCGCUAAACCACCACCGCUAUUGAACUUGGAUGGACGGUGAGAGCCUCAUCCAAAGA
Molecule: long non-coding RNA, 688 nt
Organism: Daphnia pulex (common water flea)
Lineage: Eukaryota; Metazoa; Arthropoda; Branchiopoda; Diplostraca; Daphniidae
Exons: 3
Source: RefSeq, a predicted model, not a curated record